GAGUUUGAUUAUGGCUCAGGAUGAACGCUGGCGGCGUGCCUAACACAUGCAAGUCGAGCGCGGUUGUGCUUAGUAUUGAGUGUUUUAUUGAUAUAAAACAUUGAAUUCUAUGCACAACUGAGCGGCGGACGGGUGAGUAACGCGUGGGUAACCUGCCCUAUACACAUGGAUAACAUACUGAAAAGUUUACUAAUACAUGAUAAAAUAGUUUUUCGGCAUCGAAGAAUUAUCAAAGUGUUAGCGGUAUAGGAUGGACCCGCGUCUGAUUAGCUAGUUGGUGAGAUAACUGCCCACCAAGGCGACGAUCAGUAGCCGACCUGAGAGGGUGAUCGGCCACAUUGGAACUGAGACACGGUCCAAACUCCUACGGGAGGCAGCAGUGGGGAAUAUUGCACAAUGGGCGCAAGCCUGAUGCAGCAACGCCGCGUGAACGAUGAAGGUCUUCGGAUCGUAAAGUUCUGUUGCAGGGGAAGAUAAUGA
RNAcentral lists this ribosomal RNA (480 nucleotides) under Peptostreptococcus sp. canine oral taxon 033. Its description in RNAcentral is "bacterial SSU rRNA". It matches the Rfam family "Bacterial small subunit ribosomal RNA", at positions 9 to 454 of the family's 1533-position model. The record is from RNAcentral. Lineage: Bacteria; Bacillati; Bacillota; Clostridia; Peptostreptococcales; Peptostreptococcaceae.